CCCAUGGCUCAGAUUGAACGCUGGCGGCAGGCCUAACACAUGCAAGUCGAGCGGCAGCACGGGUACUUGUACCUGGUGGCGAGCGGCGGACGGGUGAGUAAUGCCUAGGAAUCUGCCUGGUAGUGGGGGAUAACGCUCGGAAACGGACGCUAAUACCGCAUACGUCCUACGGGAGAAAGCAGGGGACCUUCGGGCCUUGCGCUAUCAGAUGAGCCUAGGUCGGAUUAGCUAGUUGGUGAGGUAAUGGCUCACCAAGGCGACGAUCCGUAACUGGUCUGAGAGGAUGAUCAGUCACACUGGAACUGAGACACGGUCCAGACUCCUACGGGAGGCAGCAGUGGGGAAUAUUGGACAAUGGGCGAAAGCCUGAUCCAGCCAUGCCGCGUGUGUGAAGAAGGUCUUCGGAUUGUAAAGCACUUUAAGUUGGGAGGAAGGGCAGUUACCUAAUACGUAAUUGUUUUGACGUUACCGACAGAAUAAGCACCGGCUAA
This 491-nucleotide ribosomal RNA is filed under the name Pseudomonas sp. CL1.138. RNAcentral describes it as "bacterial SSU rRNA". It matches the Rfam family "Bacterial small subunit ribosomal RNA", at positions 16 to 500 of the family's 1533-position model. The record is from RNAcentral. Lineage: Bacteria; Pseudomonadati; Pseudomonadota; Gammaproteobacteria; Pseudomonadales; Pseudomonadaceae.